Molecule: long non-coding RNA, 1404 nt
Organism: Gavialis gangeticus (Gharial)
Lineage: Eukaryota; Metazoa; Chordata; Crocodylia; Gavialidae
Exons: 3
Source: RefSeq, a predicted model, not a curated record
GCCGCAGCAGUGUGCUGAUUGGGCUGCAUGUGGCCCGUGGGCUGAGCACCACUGAUCUGGAUGUUUUAUUACCAUGUCAGUGCUGAAAAGGGCAGUACAGGUUUUCAAAUACUUGAAAGAUCUGCUGACUUAGCGUGAACUUUGCGCUAUAUACGUGAUUGCGUGUCUCAGCAAAAAAGGACAUUUCAACGGACACCUUUACAACUGUGACAAGUUCAUUUUGUAUGUAAAAUGCAGUGCUGUGUAUAUUUUUAAAUAAGCAGCACUGCCGUGUUUUCCUUUCCACUUGUUUCUGAUGGGCAUUGCGCUGCCAGCUGGACUUCCGUUAAAAUGGCAGUGUGCUGAUUGAUGUCUUCUCUGUGACCCGACUGCCUGUUGUUCACAAUGUUAGCAAAGUGUUUUGGGGGCUUUUUCUGGGUUUUUGGUAUGUAGAAGACUUACUGCUACAGAAGCAUGUGAUGAGACCAGAGCCAAGCUACAUUUUUUUAAAACAUGAAAUUGAAACAAAAUCCGGGACCUCUGGCUUCCCGAAUAGCACAGAUCGUAGAAGUAUCUUCAGCACACAUAAUCAAAACAGUCAAUUUGUUAGCACCUGGAGGCUGAAUUGGAGGAUAAGGACAACAAGAAGAGAAAGAAAUAGAAAUGUAGCUCAUCUGCUUGAGGAGAGCAUCAGCACAGACCCCAACAUCAAUGACCAACUAUCUGUGUUCUCGCUGGGCGGCGGAAGUGCGCGAUCUCAGCCACCCUCGUCAAACAGAGCCAAGUGCUGCUCCACUGCACUCGGCCUCUAACCUGGCUGCUGUGCUAAACAUGAAACCAUGAACAGCAAUGCCUGGGUGACCCCGUGUAGCCACCUUGCACGCUACAAACUGCCACGCUGCUGAAGCAUGCAGAAGAGGCAGCCUUCGCUCCGGUAGAGUGGGCACUGAUACCACGAGGGAGAUGCUCUACAUGCGACCGACAGCAGGUGGAAGUCCACUGUGGGAUUCACUCGGAAGAUUUUUAAAUGGGGGGAGGGGAGGUGCCUACGGGGCUGCCCUACUUAGAUCAAAGAGCUUGGCUCCCGAAACAUGCAACGUUUCAAGUUUCUUCUCCCAACUUUGCGCGCGCCUUUGAAAACGUAGCCAAUUAGUUCAGGUGGAAUCCCGAGGCCAGGUUGGGGAACUGGGCCAUUGUUCAUCGUUGCCUCCUCCCUGUGAAAGGCUGUGAAUGGUAGUUCAGCCCUAAAAUCCUGAACCUUGGGCUAAAGUCCAUUGUGCCUUCAGAAAGACCACUUGGAUGUGCUGCUAAGGUGGUGUAUUGAGUGCUCCGACAGCUCAGAGCAAGGUUCCCCAUGCUUUAAGAUGGUGGCACCGAGUCCCACACAAGAUUUUGCAUCUUGUGAAGAAAGCGCUAAAAGAAUGU